UUUCUUUCUUUAGGUGACUAGCCACUUUAAAUGCAGUAAGAAAAGGAAUAGUACAGAAUGGAUGACCUCUAUCACAAUAAAGAAUGAUUGGCAAGGCAAGGUCAGAUAGCAGAAAUGGGGAGAAUGUGCCCGUUAAAAGCAUAUCACCAAAUACAGAUGGCCUGAAAGCAUCAUCUGGGAAUCACCUCCUUUUUCCAAAAGCAAUCUUCAAUACCAAGAACCUUUAAGGUAUCAAAGGAAAGUGCUUUCACCACAUUAUACAGUCAAGAACUCUUCAGAUAUUGUUUCUGCCUUGCAUCUUUAAUCCUUUCUCUAAUUUUAGUUACUUCUAAUGGGUGAAUCAUAAAGUUUGUCAAAAUACGCUGUUCUAAAAAAGUUUUUCUAGCAAAAC
Molecule: long non-coding RNA, 391 nt
Filed under: Numida meleagris (helmeted guineafowl)
Lineage: Eukaryota; Metazoa; Chordata; Aves; Galliformes; Numididae
Description: lncRNA (ENSNMEG00000018660.1)
Source: RNAcentral